UGCCAGCUCUAAGGACUUCACGCCUUCCUCCAUGAGCUAAAUGCCACCAAGAGCAGCAAAAUAGUGCAGGUUUCACUACAGCACCAAGGAGGUUAGCUUAGCAGCACAGGAACUGUAACAGCUGUGACACUUGGGGAAACUCCUGAGCCUCUGAGUUUUGGCAUCCUGGUGGGGGUGUUGAGGGUCCUCAGUACAGCUGAGCGCACAUGGAAAUUGUGAAGGAAGGGGGAAAAAUACCCUUUCUACCCUUCUUGUGUUCUUAUGGCUAGACUAAUAAUGAAAUUGACAGAAGACCAGAUUAACAGGAGAAAAACCCAAUUUAAUACGUACAUAUUGGAGAUCAUAGACAAACGAUGCUCAGAGAGUAAAGAAAGCAGGCAGUAUAUAUUUGUAUCAUUCAUACAAAGAAACGAUAAAUUUGUGAGGAAUGACAGGACAAAGAAAUUCAGAUUGGAGGUACGUAGUUAGUGAGGAAUUUAAGCAGAUUUUAGGCUUGAGGUGGUAAAUUAGCAAGGUUUAUUUCUGCAGGCUUCUCGGCCCUGAGUCCCCAAGAUCUGGCGAUAAGGAUGCAGGGAGAACAACUUCCACAUGUGGAUUUAUUUCCUGCUUCCAGGGAGAACAGAGACAGGAGAGUCAGAAUGCUCUCUUUACUUCUCAAGUAACUUCAAUUCAAAAUAAUCAGCACACCUUUGUGGGAUAUUUUGGGGUGGCCUGCCCUGGGCCCCAACAAAGUCUAAGCUCCUCACUCGGCCUUGCUGACAGGGUUGGGGCCGCAGUUUUCUCUGUGGGGUUAGGCUGGAGAAGAGAAGUCACCGUCUAAAAAUUUUCUGUCUUGCUAGGCUGCCCCUGUGCUGGUAAGUAGAGAAGACAGGUCUUUCCUGGAGCUUUUGAUGUCUGUGCCCAGUGAUGUUUCCAGGUUGCUGGUUGCAUCAGCUCAAGUCUGGGAUACAUGAGGCAGUCAAAACCAAACCCCAGGGGCCUCACCGCUGGGCCGUUCCUUGGAUCCUGAGGUCCUUAGCCAGUCUGCCUUCUCUCCACCUUUCCGAGUCUUCCUGUGCUUAUCUUAUAGAUCACAUCCAGAGUUUUCAUUGUGCUCAAGGGGAGGAAUAAGAGUGUGUCUAUUCCAUCUUCCCAGAAGAGGAACUCUGCCCUCUUGUUUUAUAACCUGCUUUCAAUGGAACUUCUUUUCAUGCCAAUAAAUAUAUUCACAUUAUCAGUUUAAUGGCUUCAUAUUAUUCCACUACAUGGAUAUACAUUGCUUUGAUUAAAUCAGUUAUCUGUGGUUGGAUGGACAGGGUCUUUUCUCCCCCAGCAAAUUUCUUUUAUUACAAAUAACACUGAAGAGAACAUCCAAGUAGCGAAGUAUUUGUCAUAUUCUUAAUUAUUUCCUUAGACUAAAUUUCUGGACACAAUCCCGCUAACUUAAAAGGUAUGUGCAGUGCAUGUUCAGUCCUCUAAAAAGGGCAGCCAAGGGGGCCGGCCCGUGGCCCAGUGGUUAAGUUUGCACGCUCUGCUUCGGGGGCCCAGGGUUUUGCUGGUUGGAAUCCUGGGCGCUGACAUGGUACCGCUCAUCAAGCCAUGUUGAGGCGGCAUCCCACAUGCCACAACUAGAAGGACCCACAACUAAAAUACACAACUAUGUAGUAGGGGGUUUUGGGGAGAAAAAGAAGGAGGAAAAAAAAGAAGAUUGGCAACAUGGUAGCUCAGGUGUCAAUCUUUAAAAAAAAAAGAAAAAACAAAGCACAGCCAAUUGCUCUCCAGGUUGUAGUAAAUUAUGCCACUAUCAGCAGCUCUCUGUCCCUUCAGUAUCACGGAGUGCUUUUUUAAAUUGACAAUCCAGUAAGCUAAAAAUAGCAUGUCACUUUUCAAAAAUCACCUUUAUUUGGUUACUUGUGAGACAUCAUUUAGAGAGCAACUCUAGGUGUCUAUUAAUAUUAAAUUUCUAGGCAGUAAGAGGAGAGGUAGGAAAAACUGAGAUUGAGGGCUUGAAAGGGUCCUCCAGGGAGACUAGAGAUGUGACAGCUUGUGGCCACCAUUGUAAUGCAGCAGCCGGAGGGCAGGACCUGGGGCACCAGCCAGACUGAGAGAGGCAGAGGAUGCAGACAGGCCAGGGCAGCUGUCAUCUUAUGUGACAGUGGGUUUCCUCUGUCAUUCAAGAGGUCAUUUAAUUUCUCUGGAAAGAAGCAUCUGCCGUCCAUUGGAAAUGGGUAGUUGUCUUCACAGUGAAUGGGUUGAAAGCAUGAUUUAAUUGUUGUUCUAUAUCUGCUGGCCUUAUACAUACAUGAAUACAAGCAUGUGUACACACAUGCACACACACACACACACACAAACACAGCCCUGGCCUGUUUUAAUCCUGGUCUUCUGUUUCAUGCCACAAUUAGUCACUAUCGGACUAUAAUUAGCUUAUGUUACAGUCAGCCUGUAAUGACAGUCAUGGAGGACGAGUGCAAGAUGAUAGGAGUUGAGCCUGGCAGAAAGAGAGAAAGGGCUUUCUUCACAGCAGUUCUCAGCUCCCUCUUAGAUUUCACCACUGACCAUCUUGCUGCUCACGGAAUUAACAAUAACAAUAGUGACUUGCAUUUACUUCCCAAGGAUUUUUAACACCAACUCCCUGAAGACAGGAACUCUCCAGAUGCCUCACUCCCCAGAUCUGAACUAGUGAUUGCCUCGUAUCAUUGCUCCAUUUCAACUUGCUGAAUGGAGAUACAUGGAAUUAUAUUUCACUAAGGCUGUUUCAUCUGGAGCCAUUAGAUUUCAUCAGAACAGCUUGUGUCAGAUGUGCUGGGGGGGCAGCCUGGAACUCUGGAAUACAAAAGCCGUGAGACCUCACCCAGAGACCCACUCGCGCCUUGAAGUACCACUAGAGAUCUGGGUCCGACAAACACAGAAAUUUUCAUCAAUUCCACUUUGUUCAAUUCCCACCAAUAAGAGGAAAAGGUACAUUUAUAACCAUAAGCAUUGCAUUAUAUAAUUUAUUCCUGAUAGGAGAAUACUGCCAUUUUGACUGGGCCUUAAGGAAAACAGAAUACGCCAUGUACAAUUUUAUACAUCUGAUGACUGGAAUAAUUGUACACAGGGUAGCUUCUGGCUCUGUUUCAAAUCUUGCUUCUCCUUCACCACUCACAUCCCCCCAGUGCCAAGCACAGGAAGGCAUGUUCCUGUAAAGAUGCAACAUCUAACUCUGCCUCUCUGUGUCGCUGCAGCUAAGCCAGGACAGUGGCUGGUUGGAGAUUCCUGAAGGCAGUACAACCUGCUGUUCACGCCGGUGCCCAGGUGCAGUGGGAGCACACGCUUCCCAAUUCCUGUCACCAACAAAGCCGGCCACCGUCCAGCUCUUCCACCUGGCACUGGAGCAUCCUGAGGUUGCCCAUCCCUGGGACAUGGCGUAUCCCUUUCUGCAAGACAGGUUUGCAUACUCAGAGGUUUGCAGUGCACUGAGGUAUGCACACUCAGGGGUUUGCAGUGCACUGAGUGUGUACACUCAGGGGUUUGCAGUGCAGUGAGGUGUGCACGCCCAAGGGUUUGCAGUGCACUGAGGUGUGCACACUCAGGGGUUUGCAGUGCACUGAGGUGUGCACGCUCAGGGGUUUGCAGUGCACUGAGGUGUGCAUGCUCAAGGGUUUGCAGUACACCGCAGUGUGCACGCUCAGGGGUUUGCAGUGCACCGAGGUGUGUACACUCAGGGGUAUGCAGCACCCCCUACACAUUCUCCAAUCUGGGAGUUACCAGGGAGAGCUUUGCGCGUGGGGUCAUUGAUCACUGGUCAGUCAUUUCCAAAGUCGACGCUGGAUCCAUGUUCAGAUCCUCGGACUGCACUUCAAUGGUUAGAACCCAGGUGCAGGGGGAAUGGAUUCUUCGCCCCUUGACCUCCACCCUCAAGAGGUGUGGAUCAUUUUGCAGAUAUGGACACUGAAAUUCAGAGGGAUCUGCCUCACAGUGGUGUAACCAAUGAACAUCAGUGGAGAGAAACUGGAUAGAGCCAUUUGUCACUGUGGCUCCCCAACUCUCUGAACCCCUUGUCUGUCCCUUGGUAAUUUUUCACAGUAUGAGCCCUGCCAUUCUGAAACAUCUCGCAUUCCCACAUUCCUUUGCAGCUCCUCGCACACAUGUGACUUAGGUCCCACCAACUAGAAGCACACAAGGCCUGGACUCAGAAGUGAACGCUGUAGGGAGGGCUCCUCCUGCUGGGGAAGCAAAUGUCCUGGUGGAGAUGCCCACUCUUAGGGCGCUGCAAUGGCAGGCGUUCUGUCUGGUCCCGAGGGGGCUCAUGUCCAGCGAGGGUGGUGACGGUCACGGUGCCCUCCCUGCAGCAGCUCCCUUGGCCCAGUUCCUGGCUGUGCAGCUUCAGAGCUCUCUGAGCCUUCCCAGAUUCUGGGACCUCCCUCCUACCUUUAAAUAAGACCUCUUCAUGCUUCAAAUAGCAAGAGUUGAUUUUGUUGUUCGCAGCAAAAAGAUCUGACCAACAUUAACUGGAACCCAGGAUUUCUAAUUCCCAAACUCAGAGCUCUUUUCCUUGGCCCACAGUCAGGUAUCAGCUUUAAACUCACACUUUACUAACCUUCUUCCUUUCUUCAGAUAAGUAACUGAAAAUAAAGAACCGGCGUGAAGAGAAUUGGAAGAGAACUUUGAACCCUGGGACCCAGUGAAAAUGAAUAGCCCCGGGUGGGGUGACAAAGAGGAAAACUGAAGGUGCCGGACCCGCUAGGGGAAUGCAGAAGGAGAGGCAGAGAGCAAGAGAAAAUCAGGAAGGAAAAGAGAACAGAACUCACUUUCACUGAGCAAUGACUUUGUGCCAGAACAGUAAAAUGACUUUGUACCAGGACACACUGUAAACAACACCUAGAAAGUCUCUAAGAUGAAUAUUCACGGUAGUUCUCGUCUCCCUACUUUCUAAGGAGGGUUCUUUGUUUGAGCUCUUCAGCUCUCGAGCACUUUUUGUGGGAACAGGAUUAAUGAAUAAGCAAAAGAAAUGUCUCAGAGUUAUGCACAGAAGAAAGAAGAGAGAGAGAAAGUGGGAAGAGGGGAUUACAGACAGGCGGUAUGAGCCAGGGCCACAGGAACGAGAAAUUGAAGGGAGAGCUACCAUGAUGAGUGGGACUUUGGGGAGGGUGAUAUUUUAAGAGAUUUGGGAAAGAUUUGCUGGUCUUGCCUAGUGUGAUAAACCAAUCCCCGGGGCUGGCCCAGUGGUGCAGCGGUUGGGUGCGCACGUUCUGCUUCGGCAGCCCGGGGUUUGCCAGUUCGGAUCCCAGGUGUGGACGUAGCGCUGCUUGGCAGGCCUGCUGUGGUAGGCGUCCCACAUAUAAAGUAGAGGAAGAUGGGCAUGGAUGUUAGCUCAGGGCCAGUCUUCCUCAGCAAAAAGAGGAGGAUUGGCAGCAGAUGUUAGCUCGGGGCUAAUCUUCCUCAAAAGAAAAAUUAAAAAAUAAACCAAUCUCCUUGCCUUGUCUUUCAAGACAUUUCAGAAAGUCUCACAUUAUUCUUCAAGAGGUCUAAUAUGCAUUUAUUUUUUUGGAAGUGUCAC
This 5518-nucleotide long non-coding RNA is filed under the name Equus caballus (horse). RNAcentral describes it as "lncRNA (ENSECAG00000054730.1)". Lineage: Eukaryota; Metazoa; Chordata; Mammalia; Perissodactyla; Equidae. The record is from RNAcentral.